GACAACCUGAAACAAAACGUGUAUAUAAAGUUAGGAGUUCACUUGCACUUCAUCAAACUGCUAACACACUAUCAGUGCCAUGUCAGUAGAACAUCUGGUAACUACAUUAAGUUCAUCAGACUGUGGAUGGCCGUCUUUGUCCAGAGUAUUUGUCAUUUUUUUCACCAGUGUAUUAGCUUUUUCCCAUUAUUUAUCUUAGAUGAAUUUUGUUGUUGGUAAGGUGUGGCCAGAGGUUUGCUUUCUGGACUAAUGAAGCCAGAAUCCUGCUCCAGGGAACCUUGAAGCCUGUUUACAGAGUGCCAAGGCGGGGUGCUGUCACUGAUGAAGUUCUGUUCCAUAUGCAGGCUGUCACUCAACGCACUGCAAAGGAAACCAGACUGGUGGACUUCAUUAUCCAGUCAAAGGGAGCUGAGCAGCAUUUGGUGGAUGUACUUGGUGGCAAACGCUCUACUUGGAUUCAUCAGAAGUCUUGUUGCCAGAUGCCCGUCUACCUGGAUAGUGAGGAACAACACGACAAGCUUUUUGCAUUCUAAAGACUGUACUGCACAGAACACCAACACAACUGAGCUUCACAGAUGAAGUGCUGUUCCUCUGUGAUGUUCUCUUUCCAGAGGCCAUCAUAUAUGGCCUGUCUAUGCAGGACAAUCUGUCCCUGCAGGACAAUCUGUCCCUGCAGGACAAUCUGUCCCUGCAGGAGGCUGAGCAGGUCUUCUUCAGUGGUCCAGCUUACCAUCAAAGUGAAGUGGAGGAAUUUUGUCAAAGGAUUAAAAAAGACCUGAAGAAAGAAGGCAGACUGUUCAGUUGGAGGAAGUGAGAUCAGAGGUUUUGCAGCAGGAGUCAUAGACUUCACUUACUUUUGUGUGUGUGUGUGUGUGUGUGUGUGUGUGUGUGUGUGUGUGUGUGUGUGUGUGUGUGUGUGUGUGCAUGUGUGUGUGUUCAGCUUUUAUUUUCAUUUCAUAUUAUUGUGUAAAAUAAAUAUAUAUCUGUCUUCA
Amphiprion ocellaris (clown anemonefish) is the source of this 992-nucleotide long non-coding RNA. RefSeq lists it as uncharacterized. The transcript has 5 exons. The record is from RefSeq and is a predicted model, not a curated record. Lineage: Eukaryota; Metazoa; Chordata; Actinopteri; Pomacentridae.